GGGGGGAUAGCUCAGUUGGGAGAGCGUCAGACUGAAGAUUAGAAACUUCAAUCACAUAUACUGUUUCCGUCACAGGCAGGAUAUCUGAAGGUCGCGUGUUCGAUCCACGCUCACCCCA
Molecule: transfer RNA, 118 nt
Filed under: Hapsidospora chrysogenum ATCC 11550
Lineage: Eukaryota; Fungi; Ascomycota; Sordariomycetes; Hypocreales; Bionectriaceae
Description: Acremonium chrysogenum ATCC 11550 tRNA
Rfam family: tRNA
About the family: Transfer RNA (tRNA) molecules are approximately 80 nucleotides in length. Their secondary structure includes four short double-helical elements and three loops (D, anti-codon, and T loops).
Source: Rfam by way of RNAcentral